This is a long non-coding RNA of Acomys russatus (golden spiny mouse), 956 nucleotides long. RefSeq lists it as uncharacterized. The transcript is spliced from 3 exons. The record is from RefSeq and is a predicted model, not a curated record. Lineage: Eukaryota; Metazoa; Chordata; Mammalia; Rodentia; Muridae.
AUGGGCUCUUCCUACAAGUCCUGAGCUUGUGUUUAUAUCUCUUCCACAGUGGCACAGAGUUCACAGAGCACUCCUUUGACAACUGUGGAGUUGGUUUCCAGGAAAGCCAGAGGGAAGGUGCAGGACUUGGGCCUUUUCUCUCUCAGGAUGAGGACCAGUGUUGAAGAGAGAGAGCCCCUUCCUCGAGUUCAAAGAUCAAAGGAUUGUCCACUCAGCUUGGGUAUCAAUGAUGAAGAGAGAAUUUGAAGAAGUUUCUGGGCUUGAGAAGGGACACAGACCCUCUUAGAAAUGAGAUAGCAGCAACAGUCUGGCUCCAUUAAUCCACUUCCUUCAUAUAACUAAUUUCUUCUCUUCACCCACCCCAGGAUGGAAGAAACUUCCAUUUAUUGCUUUUUGUUUAAUUUUGGUUUGGUUUUCCUGUACCUGCCUGGCUAGAGGGAAGGAAGAAGGCAGGAACAGAAGAAAUGGAAGGACAGAGAGAAGUCAGGGUAGUUUCAGAUUCACCUUUCAGAAAAACACCAACUUUGGCCAACUUCCUGAAGAGCCAACCAUUGGUCUAUUGAAUUCGACAGCUUGGUUUCUGUAGAGCAAGGUGAGUCAUGUGGAAGGUCACACACAAAGACCACGAGGCUCAGUCUGCGCAGAGUUGAGCCAGUGACGUGUCCGUUCUGAAACAUGGAAGGAACUCGUGGCCCUCAAAUCAGGUCAGGCCAUCUCCAGUCCUGACUUUUGGCUCUGAGAUGGCUACUUGGCAGAAGCUAGCUGUUCCCAGAGCUGAAUUAGCCCCAUGCCAAUUGGCUUAUGAAAUGUUUACCAGCAGUUUUAAGAGAUCAUGGUGAAAGGCACGGCGAGGCCCGAAGGGCUUUUAAAGCUCUACUUGCUCAAUUUCUGUUUUUAUAACAUGAAGAGAAGGGGUUUUUAACAAGCCUGCCCUCUCCAUUGUAGGAGCCUGCCUA